RNAcentral lists this ribosomal RNA (351 nucleotides) under Vibrio alginolyticus. RNAcentral describes it as "bacterial LSU rRNA". It matches the Rfam family "Bacterial large subunit ribosomal RNA", at positions 1 to 389 of the family's 2925-position model. The record is from RNAcentral. Lineage: Bacteria; Pseudomonadati; Pseudomonadota; Gammaproteobacteria; Vibrionales; Vibrionaceae.
GUUGUAUGGUUAAGUGACUAAGCGUACACGGUGGAUGCCUUGGCAGUCAGAGGCGAUGAAGGACGUAUUAACUUGCGAUAAGCCCAGAUUAGGUAGUAAAAAYCAUUUGAGUCUGGGAUUUCCGAAUGGGGAAACCCAAUACCAUAAGGUAUUACUGUUGAGUGAAUACAUAGCUCAACAGGGCGAACCGGGGGAACUGAAACAUCUAAGUACCCCGAGGAAAAGAAAUCAACCGAGAUUCCGAAAGUAGCGGCGAGCGAAAUUGGACUAGCCCUUAAGCUUUACACGCGUUAGACGAACAGCCUGGAAAGGCCGACGAUACAGGGUGAUAGUCCCGUAGUUGACGACGUG